GUGUGUUAACUUUGUUGAGUAUAC
RNAcentral lists this small nuclear RNA (24 nucleotides) under Arabidopsis thaliana (thale cress). RNAcentral's name for it is "snRNA_13558". The record is from RNAcentral. Lineage: Eukaryota; Viridiplantae; Streptophyta; Magnoliopsida; Brassicales; Brassicaceae.